Molecule: long non-coding RNA, 473 nt
Filed under: Drosophila guanche
Lineage: Eukaryota; Metazoa; Arthropoda; Insecta; Diptera; Drosophilidae
Source: RNAcentral
AUAGUUAGGCUAAGUGCAUGCUGCACAGAACAAAAAUUGCAUUCAAGGUUGGAAGACUUAAUUGAUGUGCGUGUAGAAAAUAUACAAAAAAAAAAAAAAACGUGGUGAAAAUUUUGCAAAACCAUAAAAGGGAACAUAAACCAAAUAAAAACCAAUAUAAAAGUGUUGUGGCUGCAAAGACGAAAACUUAAAAACCAACCCCUGGAUAAGGUACGCCAAGAAAAAAAUGAAAAAUUGACCUUAUUACAUAAUUCCAUGUAUGUACUGUACAUAGGUUAUGAUCCACGUGUGGCAGGAAAUUGCUGACCUGGCCUGACCCUCGGUCUCGGAGGGGGGGUCCGCUCCAGUACCACGAUCAUCAGUCCUUCUUUUUGGUGCCACCGGACCUUGCCUGCAGGCGAAAAAACGGAUGGACUUGGCGAUCGGGACCGAGUUGUUUAUAUACAUAUAUCUCACGCGCAACUAUAAAACCA